Molecule: non-coding RNA, 9402 nt
Organism: Coturnix japonica (Japanese quail)
Lineage: Eukaryota; Metazoa; Chordata; Aves; Galliformes; Phasianidae
Source: RefSeq, a predicted model, not a curated record
GCAUGGCUGCGGAGCAGGUGUUGGGGGGCUGCGGGUGGGGAGAGGAGCAGCCCCGAGCCGCGGCCCCGAGGCGGGGAAGCAGCGCUCUGAAGGGCGAGGGUGCCUGCUGAGAGUUCUUAUGAUGCACAGAAAAACAUUGGUGUUCAUCCGGCCGCCCAAGUGACGUGAAAACUGGCAGAAAAGGAGAACGAGAGAGGGGAAAUGAGUACUGGCAAUACUCAGGCCUGAAAAAUGCAUGAAAAUAAGACAACAACGGGGACGGUCGGUGAGGGAGGCAGGCAAACGCUUCAAAAUGCGGAUAAAAAACAUUGUGGAGCCGAGUGCGAGGGUGUGUUAAGAGAACACCGCUGAAGGAGCGAAUUUUUGUGAGCCGAUAAAGGUCUAUUAGCAGCUGUUACCCCUCGGUGCUGAUAGAGCCGCGUCCGAGGCCUGCAGGCUCCCUCUGCUGUAGCGGAGCUGAAUGGGAAGGGCUGUGUGCGGUUAUCUCCCUUGUGCGGGAGGCACGAACAUGAGGUCACCCCUGUAUGUAUAGAUCUGUUAAAUCAACCUGUUCAAUAACGCACACAGCCAGCCCAGAGCAGGCGACAAGACAAGAAGAUUCCUUAUUUGCGCUGUCUGCUCAAAGGUAUUUGUAUCCUUGGGAAACAUCAGUGCAAGAAAACAAGGCAGGAAAUUGUGUGCUGAGAUUCUGCUGCCAUUUUGAUUGAUGUGCUUUCCUAACAAACACAAAUACGCAGCCUAAUGGAUGAAAAAUAGCUCACAAAAUAAUGUGAUUUCACCUGGAACAGAACUCCCAGAAAGCCAAGUCUGUGUCAGGCAGGGUGCUCCAUGGGCUAGAAAAACCUUUAUUCAAAGCAGAACUUGAGCAAACUUCUCAUCAGUGGGUCAGGAGACACUGCAAGGCAAUCUGUCAUCACGCUGCAAGGAUAUACUCAAGACCAGAAUAGCUGGAGUCAGCAUGAAAACACAGCUUUUUGGCAAAGUUGGACUCAUGAGCUGGCAAACAACUUCAGGAGACAGCGGACUCUAAUUAGAAUCAAGAAGCUGGCCACGUCUGGUGGUAUUUCAGCGGGGAGGCAGUGUUCCACUGAGCAGCACCAGCUCUGUAACGCUGAACAUGUGCCAGACCUGGGCAAUAAAAGGGACCUUGUUCUGCUUCAGCUUCAGACUUGUCCAGCAUCGUGCAGUGACACUUGGAGAUCUUCCAACAACUUGUGUCACAGGCUCUACUGGAGCAGAGGACAAAGUAACCUAACUACUACCCAGCUUUGUGCUGAAACAAAGCUGUUCCCAUGCGUGUCAGUUUAGAAAGUUACUACUGAAUAUAAAAGUCAUUUAAAAACAUCUCUGUCCAAAGACAUAUGAAAUGCAUGCUGCUGUCUUUUUCCAUUACAAAAUUUAAAUGAAGAAGAACACAAAAAGCAGAUGAAAUUUGGUUUUAGAGAGUACCAAGGAAGGAGGAAAAGGUGAGCAACACCUAAUAGAUAUUGAAUGCUUGUUGAGCUGUUUUUAAUAGCCACUUUACUUCAUUAAGCCUAGUCAUACCUAUUCCCAUAGAUCGUUCCAGAAGCUACAGACAGCAACUCCUAAGUGGGUCAUAUGGGGCUGGAGGCUCCAUUCAUUGAACUGUAGCCAUGAGACUCCAACAGCAGGGCCAUGGCACUACCUGCUGCACAAGUUUAUAUGAAAAUAAUGAGAUAGAUAUGUAAAAAUACUCAUGAGGUAAUAGAGAAAAUAUGAUAAAGGUAGGUAUGCAUCUCCUUCCACACCAAAAAUAGUAUAGAGCUCCUCAGCCUGGAAAAAACAACAGAUGAUAGAAUAAACUUUAAAAAAUCACAGAAGACAGUGAAUAAGGAACAGUUGUUCACAGUUUCUUCCAGUGCAAGACCUGCAUAUCAUCAAAUAAUAGCAAGCUCAAAUGAAAGUGAGGCACUUUUUCCAUGAAACAUUUUGCUACAGGAAACUGUGAAUACUGAGUGUUUACAUCAAUUCCAAAAGCCCUGCAACAAAUUCAUAGAGGAGAAACCUGUUAGGCACUAUUAAACACAAGGAAACUGGCUGCAGGUCAGGAAGCCCUGGAGCAGUCUCAGCUGUGUAAUCUGUGCCACGUCACGUGAGCUGCUCUCACAUUCCUUCUUAGCCAGCCCCUAUUGCAAUAUGCUACAUCAACAAAAUACUGUGACAGAGGAGCCUUGGAGCUGACCAGAUGUGGCCAUUUCUGUUUCUGGCACAGCAGUUUUGCCUGCACAGCCAUAACUGUUCUUGGGCCAUUUGGCUACUUCUGCUGGUAGCACAACAAGAAGAGCACACCAUCACCCUGCUGUUGGGCUCCCUGUAUGGUAGAAACUAGUUUGCACAUGCUUUGAGCUCACUACAGCUAUAUCAUAGAUGGCUGUAGACCAGCCAGAUGAGUAGAUGACCAGAGUAGAUGGUCAUCUAUUCAUCUGGCUGGUCUACAGCCAUCUACUAUAUAGCUGUAGUAGAUGGCUAUAGAGAUGGAGAGACCAAUUGAAUCUAACUGAGAUGGAGAGACCAAUUGAAUCUAACUGCUAUCUACGUUUAUUUACAGUAAUUUGCUCAAAUGUGGACUUUCACCGUUAAAACGUAACAGCAUAAAUAUGCAUAUAGUAAAUCCCAGUCAAAAAGUAAAUUAGUGAGAUGCCAGCUACCUUAUCUCUCCUCUUCAUUUACAUCGUGACUUAUCGCAGUUGACAUUUCAGUAAGGCUGUAGUAGCUGCUCUGAAUUUGAACAUUCAUAAGAAGAAGAUGCAAUACACUGGCUUUGAUGUCAAUAGAAUGUCAGUCUCUGCCUACUUUGUUCAGUCUGAACUUAAUUGCAGGAACUGCAUUAAUAGUCAACAUAAGCCAUCUGUUUAAACAUGUGUGUUUUGGAAAGAAGUGCCGUGUACAAUAAACACACUCACUGUAAUGACUCAUAUAUCUGUUUAUGUGAAAUGAGGAUUUGGCAAUUUCCCUCACAAAAACAUUAAAUUACAGGCUAAAAGCAGUUUUAUAUCAAGUUCAUUUGUUUACGUGGCAGGUCUGAUGGUUUGACAGUUCUGAUGCAGUCUGGGAAGUACAUUAACCAUGAGGUUGCUGAACCUCACUGUUGUGCCAGCCUUCCCUCAAGAACCUGUUUGGUAAGUCAAAGCUGCCCCAGAAAUGUCAGCAGCUCAUGGAGUUCAGUGGCUGAGAGAUACAAAGGGGAACAUUCACAACAUGUUCUUCAGAGCAUUUGGCCAGGGUGCACAUGGAGGAAGGGCUCUGCUGUCCAGGUCUGAUGGAGUGGUUAACUCCAAACCAACCCAGGUAAGCACGGUGUGACUGGCAGCCUUUCUAGGCAAUGCCUGUAACCACUGUAGACCCAUGAAUGAGCUGCUUUCGCAAGCACUACACUGAAUUCAGUCAAUGAUCUUGCAUGAGGUCAAGCUGUUCCCCUCUCCUUUGCAGACUGAAGCUUCCUCAAGCACAGGAAAGUCAGAAAUAUGCCACCUCUCAUUUGAUCUGUCAGAAUACCACAGGAAAGCAGGCUUUCAUUUCCCUGUUCUUCCUUGUAAAUGCAUAUUAGAUAUUACUUUUAAGAGUGAAACAUGCCGUUAGAUAUCUUUUCUGGUGUCAUUUCUAGGUAAGCUUUGUUAAAUUAAUCACGAUAAUGCACUGGUGCCUCAGCAGCAGCAUAAAUCCUGAACUGUCUGGUUUCAUACACGCUAAUGGAGAGCCUGGCCGCCUGCUUCCCACUCAGGUGUCCAGAGUAGACUUCUGUUACAUUUAUCAGUCACAGAUACACAAAAUAUGGGAGCCAGCGUAGAGCAGAGGCUCAGAAACUGCUGGUGAAGAAACAUAGUAAAGGCAAGUGGUAAAUUAGUAACUCUAUCACCUUUUCUCACCUGCCAUGAGUUCAGCCCUGCUAUUCUUUCAUUUUUUUUCUAGUAUGACUUUAAAUUCACGAGAGAUAAAAGAAGCCCUCCUUUUGUUUCCUUAAUUUUGCUGUUGCCCAGACUGCUUGCUCCGAUGGGCUGUAAUGUUGCAUUAAGUGAGGUCAGUGAUGUUUUAAGAUGUUCUCUAAUGUCAGCACUUUCCUCAUUUUUUUCCUACUUCAUUUCCCUGAGGGAAUUCUACACAGCAGAUAUUGUUAAUGCUUAUAUUUCUGUGAGUUUGAAAUGGACGUGGUCGCAAGAAACCUGCAGGAAUGAGUUUUAAGUAAGAUCUUCUCUCUCCUGUUUUGUAGUUUACAGAAUGUUUGGUAGCAUGGGCCUGUGUUUGUUUAACUAUAUUUAUGUAGCUAGCAGAAAUAUCCUAGCACCUACCACUACUCAGCAUAUGAAGCCAUUGUCCCUUCUGAGCUUAUUAGCUCCUAACAAUGUUUGGUUCAGAUUCUGUACCCCACCAUUAUCCUUUCGACAGACAGUCCUUUCCAUAGAAAGCUGAUACUGAAUUUUCCAUUGUUUCUCAUCACACAAUCUGAAUAUUUACACCCAUCAGAAGUUCCUAACAUGGAGAAACAUAUAUCUAACCUGCCCCGUAUCAGCACUUCAGGUGCACUAAGCUCUUAGAGCAUCUUGGUGACACAUCUAUUUUUAUCAGCAAAUCCAGCUCAUCACUAGAAACAUCUGUGUUCACAACUUCAAAUAUUUUGUAUCUGCAAAACACAAUCAGUCCAAAUGGCUUGAGAUCUUUGUUGGAUUUUCUAUACAUAAUGCAAACAAACAUCAACUAUUUUACUCUUCCUUCACCCUUGACAACAGUUGUUUGCAAAUGUACAUACUGUCAAAAGGCAAUGACACGAACAAGGCAUGAUUGUGAAGUAAGAGAUAUUUUUCACUGGUAAGAGAGGUCUUUGUAAAAAUCUAUUAAAGACACAUGGUCAGAUUUUUGAGUUGAAUGUCUGAAUGCAGACAUGCCAUUUGAAAAUUCUCAGGUAACUUAUUUAUGUCACCUGAAGACAGAAUCACAAAUAUACCAAAAGAAUGGUGAUUUUUUUAGGCAAUCAUGAAACUUAUUCUCAAUUCCUUUAUCAGAAUGGAAAGCGUGGCUGCAUAUUUAUCAUUGUUCAGAGGACUGUUUUUAGCCAGUAUAACAAAAUGCAUAAAAUUAUUCACCAUACCUUGAUUUAGCACUGCACAGCGCCCUCUGCUCACGCUGGUUUCAGCCCAGUCUGCUGUCUUCUUGUUGCUGAGCAAUGGCUGCACACCAAGGGUCAGGCCAAGCCACUUGGCUGGGAACAGCCACCACAGUGGCACAGGGCAGGAGCGGCUGCAGGAGGCACUGGGCAGGACUCCAUGCCAGCCCAUGGCCCAGAGGUUGGAUGUACCUGGACUAGGUCAUCUCCUAAGGGCCCUGCCAGCAUCAACUAUUCCGUGAUUAUGAAGUUGACAGGAAGUCAUGGACCGAUGUCCUAACAAGGGUUGAAUUUCAUCAGAAUUGAGUUUAAACUGCUACUAAGUUCUUAUCAAGAAAAACUAAACAAUGAGUAGUAUCCUGUCUUGAAACAGUAUUUAUUUACAACAAAGAACAAUGAAUGGAAAUAUAAAUAAGCGAAGCAGAUUAGCUCCAUACUGAUAAUCCUAGCUCCACAUACUGUUUUUAAAUGUUAUCUGUUUCUCCUCUGGUAACUUCCCUCAGAUUGUGCUGGAUUUUGACCUUUAAAAGGUCCCUCAAAGUAUCUCUUUUUUUUUCCAUUUACAUUCACACAGUUCUUAAGUGUACUGCCCCAUCUGGCUGUUCUAUGUUAACGGCCCAUCUUCUGGACUCAUGUAGUAACUUGCUGGUAUGACGGAUCAUUCGCUACCAUCUGGGACAUGCUAUUGCCCAGUAUCCAGUUCCAUUCCUGAGGCAACCUUAGCUCAUUCAUUCCUACAGGUAUUUUUAAAUGAAUCCACGUGUAUUUUCAGAACAAUACAGAAAUGUGCCUCACAUCAUCCAUCUGGCAUGCAUUUACAAAACGUGCCCAUUCCUCUCCACUAAAAGUGUUCAGGAUAAGUUUUAGAAGACUCACUAUUGAAUUGAUUUGUACUCCAGUUUUACACAGACUUGGAUCAUGUCUAGUGCUUCCAGUGGGAAUAGCUCUGUUUUACCAAUGUUUUCAUAUUAAUGGUUUUGCUUUAGAUUUCUCUUACAGAGCUGGAGAAUAGUUCAGGGAAUAUUCUGAAUGGAAAUCAGAAGUUUUAUCUUCAUGAGAAAGAUGCAAAAUGAUUUCUCAGCUGCGUUGCGUCCUCUGUCAGGGCAUAAGAAUAAUCACCCUCCCUGAGGAAAUGUUUCUGAAGCCAGUUGUAGCUACUUAGAUAUUCUUUACAGCACCCCACAAGACAACACCUCCACUCCCAACCCAGCCACUUGCCAUUACUAAUGGGCUCCAUGUGGCAUGAUUCAUUCCCCUGGCUGUGCCAAGUACUUUGUUGUCUUGGUUGCCAACAUGGUCAGCUAUUGCUGGAAAAAGAAAGCUGGUUACAUUUGGGAGAGAGAAGAUAAUAGAGGUGUUUACCUAUGAAUCACAGAAUCUCAGAAUGGUUUGGGUUGGAAGGGAUUUAAAGCCCAUCCAGUUCCAGCCCUCAGCCAUGGGCAGAGUUCUCACCUGCAAGAUCAGGCUGCCCAUGGUCCCAUCCAGCCUGGCCAUGAAUGCCUCCAGGAACUUGGUUAUUUGGAAGCACAAUUUACACCCUUGUAUCCUUUUCCUUGUGAUUCUAUAGCAUGUAGCUUCUCAUAACUUAAUAAUAACACAGCUAAUAAUACAGACAGCUAAUAAUACAGUUAAUAAUACAGUUUUGUAAUACAAUAUAGUUAAUAAUGCAGCUUCCUAACAGUGGUUUUAACUUUAACCAGACUAGCCUGUACUAUUGAAGAAGUUUAAUUUCAAGAAGUCAGUUCCACCCUUCAUAUGGGUUCAGGAAAGCACACUGUUUAGCAGAUAACCUUCACACACAAAACAAAAGCUGAUACUGGACAAACUUGCAGUAUAUCUCAUAGCCCUGCAAAGUGCACCUUGCAACUAUGGGUUAUAUUUAGCUCUCACCUUGUUUUGAGAACAAGGUCAAUCAGGUCUCAUGUUUGGGGAAAUCCAGGAUGCAGUUCUUGCAGGUGGCACCAUCUGAGCCCCUCUGAAAUGGACACUCCCUGCUAGAGGUCACAUUCACUUACACCAGCCCCAUGCCCUGAGAACAGACCAAGGGCAUGAGUCCCAGCCAUAACUCACUUAUGGCAUGUAAUGAGGCAGUCUUGCACUGCUCAACUACUCAUGCAAAAGAAGCUCUCCUUAAGCUCAGCAAUAAGCAAGAGAUCAUUUUACAGUGACCCAGUAUUACCAAAUAUGGGUUUGUGGCUAUAGCCUAUUGAGCAGACAGAAUAUAUCACCAUUCUCAUUGCUGAUUUGUGCUGCCUGUACACUCCUACACUGAUAUGACUGCAGAGCUGAGUUACUGGCUUAGAGAAGCUUCAAUAGGUGAGGCAAAAUAAUCAGGGGUGUGAGAGUCAUCAUUGACCAUAGUCACUCUUUCAUCAUCAGUGACACUGGUCAUGCCAAUACUCAGGAUUAGCUGUUUGCCCAGGUGAUAUCCCUAUAUGGGUUUCAACAUCAUCUUCAGCACAGCUUAUCAGUCCCUACAGGCCAGGCAGCUGUUCCUGUGAAGCCUGUUUUUAAUAUCAAGGCUCUGCCACUUUUAAGUGUGUGUCAAAACAGUGCUGGGGCCUCCAGCUCUAGCUCUAGGCCCCGCAUCCAGCACAGCAAAAGCCAGCUGUGCCCACCUGAUCCCCAAAAUCUGAUGGUUGGAUCCCAGAAAAAAAGGAAAAUCUGGCAAAUACAGUUCUGCUAUAGGCACUGGACUAAAGCUAAUGUGCACUCAACCAGAGUUUCAUCUACAGUCAAAGUUACAUAGAUCAGAUAAUCUACUGAAGUCAGAGAAACAUCGGACAGACUUAGGCUGGCUCUGUCAUUUCAAGACAGCAGCAGUUAUUGCUUUUAUUUUCAGUGAAACGAUAAAUGCAGGUUUAUUGCUCAUUGGAAGUGGCGACUGGUUUGGACAGGAAGGUUUUGCACACACAUAAGAAAACAGCAAGGAUUGAAGUUAAAUGGUAAAAUGUCACAUCUUAAGAAGCUAUGUAUUUUGGUAAGGAGAAAAUGGAAAUAGUCAUGGGAAUCUGAACAGUGCCACUCAGCUACUCUAGUUCAUCCUUUAGCUCUGCAUGUGAGAAAGCAAGCGUCUUUAGUGUGAGGCUCUUAUUCAAGUGCUCUUCUCAGUGUGUUUCUUGCCUAUUACAUGAAGGCAAAGGGGAGCUCUUCAGGCAACUGAGGAACAUCAUGAGACAAAGCCAAAUAGCCACGUGAAACCAACAGCCAUGAGUGAGGAAUGGGCAAGCACUGGAGAACUACACUUGUGUAACCCCCUGGACUUCACAGCAAGAGUUUAAACACAGGCUGUGACUCGUUUCCCUGUAUGUGGCUCCCCAACUAAGCAAUCUAAUUAAGACCCAGAACUUCGGCUGGUUAUCUUACAUAAAAACAAACAGACAAAAAGAGGCACUCGUUUUCUUUUGUAACAAUCCUGUCACUCACCUUAUGGUCUUCCACAUGCUUCCUGAGUUUGCUCUGAAAAGGCUGAGAAAUGCAAGUAGAGAAGUCAUUAAGCCUUAACAGGAAGGAAGUGAACUGGAAAAUCUUGUUCAGUGUUUUUCUGUCUAGUACAUGCGAUGCUUGACAAGGUCAGGUUCUCACUGUACCACUCAGGACAGAUAAUUUUGCAACAUUGCAACAUUUAUGACUAGAAAUAGAAAAGGAAUGACAGGGGGAAUUAAAAAGGAAACUAAAAAUCCAAAGACGUAGCUGUCCGGUCACCUGUGGUGGUAUCAAGGGAAAAAGAGGCAGUCAUUUCUUAUCAUAGCUGUUUGUUGGAUCCUCUUCUCAUCCUUGGUUCUAUGCUCAGUUAUCAAUUGUUAAACACCAUCAGUGGUUCAGCAGUAGCCAUUUCUGUUCCUCAACUACUGGAAGCUUUUUUCCUUGUAAGUCCUUUAAAUACAAAUAAGCUGGUGGCAUAAAGUGUGACUCCCUUCAGUGAUCCAAGCACAAAGAAAGUAGCCCUUCUUCCCCACCCCACAGCCUGUGGGGUGUGGAAGUCCAGGCCAAGAGACAGCUUCAGGCACCUGUAGUCAACCAAGUCCUGCCACCUGUGUUUUCUGCCAGUCACUUUUCUGCACAGAGGGUCACUUCACGGACACACUGGAACGUUCAACUUGGUUUUACCUUCACUAUGAGGAAAGAGAAUCCAGAAGGAUUUUAAAAGAAUGAAAGAAAGAUUGGUUUCCUUCUAACACACUAUUAAUUAUGUUAAUAUUUCUAGAGGGUGUUUUAGUGGCUGUCCUCAGCAUUAAGUCUGUAUUGAAUACCAUCUUAUUUUAAAAUGCAUGUGAAUUUUA